Molecule: small RNA, 169 nt
Filed under: unclassified sequences
Description: DUF2693 RNA
Rfam family: DUF2693 RNA
Source: Rfam by way of RNAcentral
GAUCAUUGACAUACUGACAAGGCUAAAAAAACAAAGAGAUAACUAACGUAGAGAGGCUUCAAGCCCUCUACAAGUGACUAACAAUAUAGCUUGCAGUCUUAGACCUAUCGUGCUAAGAGCUGAACGGCUAACGACCGCCCCCCGCCCAUCGUAAAGGGCUUGCAAGCAC